Molecule: ribosomal RNA, 495 nt
Filed under: uncultured bacterium
Lineage: Bacteria
Description: partial 16S ribosomal RNA
Rfam family: Bacterial small subunit ribosomal RNA
Source: RNAcentral
GACGAACGCUGGCGGCGUGCCUAAUACAUGCAAGUAGAACGCUGAAGGAGGAGUUUGCUUCUCUGGAUGAGUUGCGAACGGGUGAGUAACGCGUAGGUAACCUGCCUGGUAGCGGGGGAUAACUAUUGGAAACGAUAGCUAAUACCGCAUAAUAGUAGAUGUUGCAUGACAUUUGCUUAAAAGGUGCAAUUGAAUCACUACUAGAUGGACCUGCGUUGUAUUAGCUAGUUGGUGAGGUAACGGCUCACCAAGGCGACGAUACAUAGCCGACCUGAGAGGGUGAGCGGCCACACUGGGACUGAGACACGGCCCAGACUCCUACGGGAGGCAGCAGUAGGGAAUCUUCGGCAAUAGGCGGAAGUCUGACCGAGCAACGCCGCGUGAGUGAAGAAGGUUUUCGGGUCGUAAAGCUCUGUUGUAAGGGAAGAACGAGUGUGAGAGUGGAAAGUUCACACUGUGACGGUAUCUUACCAAAAAGGAACGGCUAACUACGUG